This 746-nucleotide ribosomal RNA is filed under the name Prototheca wickerhamii. Its description in RNAcentral is "eukaryotic LSU rRNA". It matches the Rfam family "Eukaryotic large subunit ribosomal RNA", at positions 1 to 667 of the family's 3401-position model. The record is from RNAcentral. Lineage: Eukaryota; Viridiplantae; Chlorophyta; Trebouxiophyceae; Chlorellales; Chlorellaceae.
AGACCUGAGCUCAGGCAAGGCUACCCGCUGAACUUAAGCAUAUCAAUAAGCGGAGGAAAAGAAACUAACCAGGAUUCCCCUAGUAACGGCGAGCGAACCGGGAAGGAUUAAUUUGAGCCCACUUUGUAAAUCUGGAAUACAUUGUAUUUCCGAAUUGUAGUCUACACAGGUUGGUCUUUUUGGCAGAACUAGGUUGUCCAAGUGCCUUGGAAGAGGCCGCGCGACAGGGUGAGAGCCCCGUUGGACCAUUACGUUAUUCUGUCAGAUGCACAGACCAGAUUGUCCUGUUCGAGUCGGGUUGUUUGGGAAUGCAGCCCUAAUGUGUCGGUGGUAAAUCCCAUCGAAGGCUAAAUACUGGCGGGAGACCGAUAGCGAACAAGUACCGUGAGGGAAAGAUGAAAAGAACUUUGAAAAGAGAGUCAAAAGUGCUUGAAAUUGUUGAGAGGGAAGCGAUUUGAGUGAGGUUUUUGGGUGGUGGAGAGAUUUUGGGGUUGGCAGAUUUCUGCCUCCUCAUCUAUCUUCACCCCCGGUCAGCAUCGGUUUCUGGAGGGGUAGAAACGCCAGGUUUUUGGUUUGGGUUUGAGUUGAUUUUCAAUUCAAUCCCAACGCCUGGCUCAUGCUCUUCUUGAGAGACCGAGGAACUUUCAGUACGGUGCCCCAGAAGAAACAACUUGCGUUGGUUCUUCCGCACCGGUUGAUGGAUGCUGGCUGACGCCGCUCAAUCGGCCCGUCUUGAAACACGGACC